CCUACGGGUGGCAGCAGUGGGGAAUAUUGGACAAUGGGCGCAAGCCUGAUCCAGCCAUGCCGCGUGAAUGAUGAAGGCCUUCGGGUUGUAAAGUUCUUUUAGUGGAGAAAUGGUAUCCACAGAAAAAGCCCCGGCUAACUUCGUGCCAGCAGCCGCGGUAAUACGAAGGGGGCUAGCGUUGUUCGGAAUUACUGGGCGUAAAGGGUUUGUAGGCGGUUGAACAAGUCAGUGGUGAAAGCCCAGAGCUUAACUCUGGAAUUGCCAUUGAAACUGUUCAGCUAGAGAGUGUUAGAGGAAAGUGGAAUUCCUAGUGUAGGAGUGAAAUCCGUAGAGAUUAGGAGGAAUAUCGAUGGCGAAGGCAGCUUUCUGGGACAUUCUGACGCUGAGAAACGAAAGCGUGGGUAGCAAACAGGAUUAGAUACCCUUGUAGUC
Molecule: ribosomal RNA, 432 nt
Filed under: uncultured bacterium
Lineage: Bacteria
Description: partial 16S ribosomal RNA
Rfam family: Bacterial small subunit ribosomal RNA
Source: RNAcentral